CCUACGGGAGGCAGCAGUGGGGAAUCUUGCGCAAUGGCCUAACGGCUGACGCAGCGACGCCGCGUGAGGGAUGACGCUCUUCGGAGUGUAAACCUCUUUUGCCCGGGACGCGGUACCGGGUGAAUAAGCACCGGCUAACUCCGUGCCAGCAGCCGCGGUAAUACGGGGGGUGCGAGCGUUGUCCGGAAUCACUGGGCGUAAAGGGCGCGUAGGUGGUCUUAUAAGGGUGUGGUGAAAGCCCGGGGCUCAACCCCGGGUCGGCCGUGCCGACUGUAAGACUAGAGUGCUGUAGGGGCAGGCGGAAUUCCGGGUGUAGCGGUGGAAUGCGUAGAGAUCCGGAGGAAGACCGGUGGCGAAGGCGGCCUGCUGGGCAGUACUGACACUGAGGCGCGACAGCGUGGGGAGCAAACAGGAUUAGAUACCCUUGUAGUC
This 432-nucleotide ribosomal RNA is filed under the name uncultured bacterium. RNAcentral describes it as "partial 16S ribosomal RNA". It matches the Rfam family "Bacterial small subunit ribosomal RNA", at positions 338 to 795 of the family's 1533-position model. The record is from RNAcentral.